This 73-nucleotide transfer RNA is filed under the name Segatella copri. RNAcentral describes it as "tRNA-Gly". It matches the Rfam family "tRNA". From Rfam's summary of the family: Transfer RNA (tRNA) molecules are approximately 80 nucleotides in length. Their secondary structure includes four short double-helical elements and three loops (D, anti-codon, and T loops). The record is from RNAcentral. Lineage: Bacteria; Pseudomonadati; Bacteroidota; Bacteroidia; Bacteroidales; Prevotellaceae.
GCGGAAAUAGCUCAGUUGGUAGAGCACAACCUUGCCAAGGUUGGGGUCGCGGGUCCGAGUCCCGUUUUCCUCU